CAAAUAUCAUCUCGUUUCGAUUCGUAAUCACAACUCGAGCAGCGCAUCGAAAUCCAUGGUUCCGGUAACACUGCACUGCUAGCUUAGCUUAGCUUGCUUGCCCCUGUGUGUACGACUAACUAAAUUGGUCGCCUCUUCAUCCUUCGGCUCGCCGUCACAAGCGGCUCCGCUUCUCGCCGCUAAACUCGACGCUCCACCUCCCACAGCAACAGGAGGAUGGCCGGCCUCCCCGCACGCGUCCACUGAGUUGAGCACAGCGUACCGUGGAUGCUCAACAUCGCGGUUCCUGCUCCCUUACUGGAGUUUCAUUUUAGAUGGUAAAUUUGGGGCACAACUUUAAGUCUGGAUCUAUGGGGACUCAAUGUUCGCUGUGUGCAUCAGGGGAAGCAGCAGGAGCAGCCAACGCCAUGACGGUGGGAGCACCUGGAUGGGCAGAGCACGCAUGUUUUGUUUCCUUGUUGCUUGUAGGCCACCAGGAGCAGAUCAAGUCGAUGGAAUAUUAUCCAGUUGAGUCGAGUCUCAUGUGCUCUGCAAUUUCCAGCUUCAAUUUGCCUUCGGUAAUUCGGUUCGUGUUAUGGAUUUGCUAUUGACCUAUUGUUGGUCUAAGGGAAGGUAAACUCACCAUAGUCAAGAAGGGGUAUCUAUACACAAUACAAGCCAUACGACUACCAAACACAUGCUUCAAAGACCUGGCUAACACGAAGCUAACUUCUUCCACUAUGCAGGCUAAUCCUGACCAUGGCUAAUUUUUAUCCAGGUUAGAUCUAAGUCUCAACGUGUUCGGCACAGCUGGCUGCAGCAGCUAGCCCACAGCCAGUGUCCUAAUUAGCAGUAGCUACAGUGCUGGGCACCUGCAGCCAGCUGAAGCGAACAGCCGAUGCAAGCACGCGCAGGUGCGCCUGCCAGCCUGCUAGGCCCGCCCCUGCGAAAAUGUGUGAGCACGUCUCUGCCGGUGACCGCAUUUCGGACGUGGGCCCAAGCGGGAUCGGCCUGAGGAAGCCUGCGACCUCCCGCAGGAUACCUGCGAGGCCUGCAUGAGGGGAACAAGCGCCCGCGCACCACAUCUCGAGGGCCUGUUGCUGCGGGAGCGCCGCCGUCCGCUUGCUCGUCGGCGCAUCCAAGAAGCCGUCUCCAACAACGCUGCUCUCAAUCAAGCUCACUGGUAUGGACGAACUGCACUGAAGCAAGGCAUGAGGUGUGAGUUUGAUGACAAUUGGCAAUUCAAGGCCAGGAUGAAGCUCUUUGCUUGAACCGGUUGCAACCAUGGUUUCUUCAGAGUCUGAUAAGGAAAUGCAAUAGACUUUGUUCUGUAACUUGUAGUAUGAACGAGUGAUCAUCGUAGUCCAAAUUCCAAGUUCUUAUAUGUACAACUAAAACUAUGAUAAUGAAGGUGAUGCUGCGAAGAACAUUGUCGA
Molecule: long non-coding RNA, 1415 nt
Organism: Setaria italica (foxtail millet)
Lineage: Eukaryota; Viridiplantae; Streptophyta; Magnoliopsida; Poales; Poaceae
Exons: 3
Source: RefSeq, a predicted model, not a curated record